UCUUACAAUUUAUCGAAUAAGUUGUUGUAGUAAAUUUUCAAUAAAUUUUGACUUAAAAUUACGUUGACAAUCCCUUUAAGAACCCUAAAAUGUGAAGAAUGUUGAAUUCUUUUCCAUCUUUAAAAUCAUCCUCAGAAUAUCCGGUCACCAAUACUACUCAAGUUCCGUGCCUGGGGGUAACUUGUCAACAGCUAGAACCAGUUUUUUGGCUUUUCCCUAUCAUAUCAGAGG
This is a long non-coding RNA of Eurytemora carolleeae, 231 nucleotides long. RefSeq lists it as uncharacterized. The record is from RefSeq and is a predicted model, not a curated record. NCBI's taxonomy places the organism in Eukaryota, Metazoa, Arthropoda, Copepoda, Calanoida, Temoridae. The transcript is spliced from 2 exons.